This 499-nucleotide ribosomal RNA is filed under the name uncultured bacterium. RNAcentral describes it as "bacterial SSU rRNA". It matches the Rfam family "Bacterial small subunit ribosomal RNA", at positions 899 to 1397 of the family's 1533-position model. The record is from RNAcentral.
ACUCAAAGGAAUAGACGGGGACCCGCACAAGCAGCGGAGCAUGUGGUUUAAUUCGACGAUACGCGAAAAACCUUACCAAGACUUGACAUUCUAGUGCAUAGCCGCGAAAUCGGUGAAUGGGGGAAACUCCCACUAGAACAGAUGUUGCAUGGUUGUCGUCAGCUCGUGUCGUGAGAUGUUCGGUUAAGUCCGAUAACGAGCGCAACCCUUGUCGUUAGUUGCUAACAUUAAGUUGAGAACUUUAGCGAGACUGCCAUAGAUAAUAUGGAGGAAGGAGAGGAUGACGUCAAAUCAUCAUGGCUCUUACGUCUUGGGCUACACACGUGCUACAAUGGUCGCUACAAACAGUCGCAACAUGGUAACAUGAAGCCAAUCUGAAAAAAGCGAUCCCAAUUCGGAUUGUGGGCUGCAACUCGCCCACAUGAAAUCGGAGUUGCUAGUAAUCGUGAAUCAGCAUGUCACGGUGAAUGCGUUCCCGGGUCUUGUACACACCGCCCGU